UUUUCGACGGAGCGGGUAGUGACUCCUUAAAUAAGCCUCUAGCAACUGUUGUUUUGUUUUUUUGUCUUUGUCUUUAGAAUUGGGGUAUCGAGUGACACUAUGAGAGUCGUCAGCUCAACAGGGUUAUGAAUGUGGGUAACAUCCAGUGAAAUUGAUACUGGGUGCUACUAUAUGAAAGAAGUGAAAGGUGAUCAAUGAAUGGUGAUGAAUAACAGGUCGGGGUAAUUGUUGUGCUUAGGGUUGUGCUGUUUAGAUGUUGGUGUUUGUGCUUCGUUACGUUUUUUUUUUAUAAAUUGUUGUUGUCUCGUCUUCUGUGACAGAUUUUUUUUUUACAUUUGAUAAAAUUUAGACUGGUUGUGCGCUCCAGGCUCUAUGGCUGAGGGCAGCCGUGUUUCUCACCCAGUUCGAAACCUCUCGUGGGUAGGGGGGUAUUGUAACGAAGCAUUUCGGACCAACGAGCCUUGUAGCGACAUCUUGUGGUUUCUGACGAUAUAACGUUGUUUUUAUAUUUUACCCGCAGGAAAUCACAGAUGGCGCUGCAGGGUUAUCGAUGGGCCCGAAUAUUUUUAAUUAUUUUAUUUUCUUCAAAAAUUUGGUAUAUUAAAAUUAUCUGCAACAUUUAUUUUUGAUAUAUUAUAAUUAUAUUGUUUAAAUUUUGGGAUCAAACAAGUCGAUCGAUUGUUGUCGUUGAUUCGGCGAAUUUAUGGUUUGGUAGAUUUUUUCUAGUUUGGCAACUUUGUUCGUGGGUUUUGUGUCAGACUGACAGCUGGCUGAGCUGAGACAGGUUUUGGAAAGUGGGGACGUCGCGAGAGCGCCGGAGACUCCAUUGCCGAAACCCAAAUGUGGGCAAAUUAAAGCCACAAUGUAUUGGCGGCAUCAAGAGCCGAUGUAACCAUUUAUAUAAAUAACUUAACCGAGAUGCAACAUCACUGAAAUCCCAUCGCCUAAGGUCCAGUGGGUGGGAUUAGGUUUCAUCCGAGCGAUGCCCAACUAUCCCGGAUGAACCUGUAAGUUAUUUUCUUUGUUUUACACUCGUGAGUUGCCUUGCCACGCUGUCAGCUGAACCACAUGCUAAUCAUUGCCAUUCCUUGUUGCAGAUGGGGUUUUAAUUGUUUUUAAAGUUUUAAAGGUUUAAAGUUUUGAGUUUUUUUAAAGUUUUGAGUUUUAAAAGUUUUUAAAGUUUUUUGUUUUGCUUUAAGUUUUUAACGUUUUGAAGUUUUAACGUUUUUGCAAGUUUUUAACGUCGAACGUUUUGCAAGUUUUAAUCUAAGAAGAAGUUUAUGAUUGGAUCAGACUAUUUCAACAAAUUUUGUGAAUGAAGAUUGCUACUGUUUUCUUCUGCGUUUGCAAGUUAUUUCAAGCUUCAUUUCGGCGGAGCUUGCCUUGGUUGUUUGCACGACGAAGCUUUCCUUUGUGCGGCGCGCAUGUGGAUGUGCCGCGCCUCUCCUUUUGUCAACACACCGGAUAAGGCCCGGUGAAGGUCUGCGAGGUUGACCGGUGGACGUGCAGCCCGCCAGCUGCGUAACAGUUGGCCCGCUGCGCCGCCAUCGUCCAGCACGCCCUGGCCUGAGCCGGCCUCAACUCAUCACCUGUACAGUAUUCCGGAACGCCUCAGGUAGGCCUGAUAGUCGGAGGUCCUCGAGUAAGUGAGGUGCCUACAGGUGUACGGACAGUGUUUUUAAAUAUAGUGAUAUCCCAUGGUUGUUACGGAGUGACAAUUAACCUGACGGACCAAAGCGCGACCUGUCUCCCUCCAUAGGGUUUUUGACCUACCUAUGGUUAAUGAAAUUUGUAGAUUUAAAAAAUAUACAUUGUACAAAUUCAA
This is a long non-coding RNA of Pectinophora gossypiella (pink bollworm), 1825 nucleotides long. RefSeq lists it as uncharacterized. The record is from RefSeq and is a predicted model, not a curated record. NCBI's taxonomy places the organism in Eukaryota, Metazoa, Arthropoda, Insecta, Lepidoptera, Gelechiidae. The transcript has 2 exons.